GAUGAACGCUGGCGGCGUGCCUAAUACAUGCAAGUCGAGCGAACGGACGAGAAGCUUGCUUCUCUGAUGUUAGCGGCGGACGGGUGAGUAACACGUGGAUAACCUACCUAUAAGACUGGGAUAACUUCGGGAAACCGGAGCUAAUACCGGAUGAUAUUUUGAACCGCAUGGUUCAAAAGUGAAAGACGGUCUUGCUGUCACUUAUAGAUAGAUCCGCGCUGCAUUAGCUAGUUGGUAAGGUAACGGCUUACCAAGGCAACGAUGCAUAGCCGACCUGAGAGGGUGAUCGGCCACACUGGAACUGAGACACGGUCCAGACUCCUGCGGGAGGCAGCAGUGGGGAAUCUUCCGCAAUGGGCGAAAGCCUGACGGAGCAACGCCGCGUGAGUGAUGAAGGUCUUCGGAUCGUAAAACUCUGUUAUUAGGGAAGAACAUAUGUGUAAGUAACUGUGCACAUCUUGACGGUACCUAAUCAGAAAGCCACGGCUAACUACGUG
This 497-nucleotide ribosomal RNA is filed under the name uncultured bacterium. RNAcentral describes it as "partial 16S ribosomal RNA". It matches the Rfam family "Bacterial small subunit ribosomal RNA", at positions 28 to 507 of the family's 1533-position model. The record is from RNAcentral.